RNAcentral lists this long non-coding RNA (389 nucleotides) under Anser brachyrhynchus (Pink-footed goose). RNAcentral describes it as "lncRNA (ENSABRG00000023100.1)". Lineage: Eukaryota; Metazoa; Chordata; Aves; Anseriformes; Anatidae. The record is from RNAcentral.
CAGAGGGAGAGCUCAGGGGAAGGCGAGUGCGAAGAGCUGGGAUCACCAGAGAACAGCUUGACGUGAGCAGUGCGAGAACACACAGCUGAGGUCUGCAUGAGACGGAUGAAGAUAUUUGCUCAGAGGCUGUGAUUCUGUGGAGUUUCGUCACAAGCUCUCUGGUUCCUUAUUCACCACCAUGCUUAAACUCUAAUGACACUGGUUGCUUUGAGACUUCAAGUAAGGAAAUUUUAAUAAAAGCUUGACUUGAUGUUAUUCCACUACAAGCUCUGCGCUGAAUUAAACAUAAGGCUGAGGAGAUAUGUUGACAGUACAUCAGCAUGAAGUCCUGCUGGCCACUGCUGAAUAUGGCAGGCACUGCUGUGCUCCAGCAUGCAGGGAGCAGCGCG